This is a long non-coding RNA of Parus major (Great Tit), 1354 nucleotides long. RefSeq lists it as uncharacterized. The transcript is spliced from 6 exons. NCBI's taxonomy places the organism in Eukaryota, Metazoa, Chordata, Aves, Passeriformes, Paridae. The record is from RefSeq and is a predicted model, not a curated record.
UUGAAUCUACCUAAGGUUAUCUGUUCAAAACCUAAGAUACUCCAUUCUCUAAACUGCAGAAGAAGGACUCUUUCCUACAUCAUCUCAGACUUAGAAACCACUUCAGUUUUCUACAGAACUUUUCACCAUAUUCUGCACAGUUACUUGCAGCUUCACCUCAGCUCUGAUGAAAUACAGAUUUCACACCUCUCCCCAGGUUUUGGAACUAGCUGUUGCACAGAAGCAUGGAUCCCAAGAACCACUUCCCAAGGAUGAAAUUGAGAACUGGAGGCACAAAGUGACUACCACUGGGGUAAGAACAAUUGAGGUGAUUGUGCACUGGAACAGUUUGUCCAGAAAGGCUGUGGAGUCUUCCUUACCAGAGAUAUCCAAGAACACAAUCCCACACCAUGUCCUCCACAAUGGCCCUGCUUGAGAAGACAGGUUGGACCAGAUGACCGACUGUAGACCCUUCCAACUUUAAACACUCUUUGAAGGCACUCAAAACUUGACUGGGGAGUUUGCUAUAGUAAAUCUGAGGACAACAGAUCCAGAAUGACAAAAGGCUGUUUCAGCAAUGUAAACUGAAAGACAAAAUACUCGGCUAGAUUUGGCCCAAGAAGUUUGAUUCCAACGUCAUCAGUGACAGCGAUUUACCAUCUUCCCUGAGAGCAAGAGGAUGUGCAGCAGUUUUGUUUGCUUGGUUUCUUCUUCUAAAGGCUCAGUACACAACUGGAAAUUAAGUCUAGAUGAGAAAGACACUGCUCCAAACAACAGGUCUUAUUCCAGUGCCCUAUCACAGAAAAAAGCACUGUCAAACAGGAAAAAGUUCACACAAGAGGCCACCAACACAGUUGGAGGCUGCAGCACAGAACCUAUGAGGACAAACUUGGAAGCAGGGUCGAUUCCACCUCCAGGGGCCUAACAGCAGACCGCUAAUAGAAGUUAUUCAGAAGAUCGAGCCAAGCUCUUGUCCUCCAUCCACAGGACAAGAGACAACAGAAGCAAGUAUAAACACACAAUGUUCAGAGACUAUAAAAAGAAAGUCUGACAUCUAGAUGAUGGACCAGUGGUCAAUGUGGUGUCUCCAUCCUUAGAGAUUUUUUAUGACCUGCCUGGAUGCGGCUUUCAUACCUGUUAUGACCUUCUUACUGACCCUGCUUUAUUCAGAUCUUUGAAACAGAAACUGAGUACUCCACUGAAUUAUUCUAUAAUUGUUCUAUAAUAUCAGUCUUUAACUCAAAGUUACAUUAUUUUACUAAAUUUAAGCUUUAGCAGAAUUGUAACUAUAAUCUCCAAAUUGUUUUCUUUAAAACAAAAGAUAAUUUAAAUUCAUAUCUAUUAGCUGCCUGUCCAAUGAAUAUCAGGGAUUAUA